AAUGGGCAUCAGUGUAAGAAGUUCCUGAAGCUUUGAAGAGACAAAAAAAAAAAAAACAAUUGUCUCCAAGGUUGCAUCAGGGAGCUGGAGCCACAGGCUGGGUGAACUCACUGGACCCCACCAGAGGAAGGCGGAUGGCUAAUCCAACAGAAAGAGUUUUCAAGUAUUUUAAUUACUUGAAAACUAGAAAUACACCGGCUUUUUAACUGUGUUGUUUAUGUUCACUUGAUGCCUGGCCUGUGCUGCAAUUGAAAUGCAAUUUCUAAGUGGAAAACAGAAGGAGCAGAAGAGGCCGGGCUUCCCCACAUGAUUUGGAGGAUUUCCUGUCAGCCAGUGGCAGUAGGGAAAUCAUUCAGGAAGGUGGCAACACGUCCGGUGACAACUUUUGUCUCUUGUUGGGUCAUGUAAAAAGCUUACUUGAUGAAGCUAUAAUCUCUCGUCAUGAUAUUAAAACAACUCCAACAUUGGGAACCUAAUGCUGCUGCAGAAUGAUUCACUGAUGAAGAAACACAAUGACACAACUAAAAUAGAGAUACUGAAUAUGAGAUGAAAAGAACACAUAAAAGGAUGAACACAACGUCACUAUAGGGAUAUACUGUAUAUGUAACACAGAAACAGACAGGACAAACAACCAUGCCAAAACUAUUUUAUAAUUUUAAAAGUAUGUUGCUUAUAUAUCAUUUAAAAAUGUGUUUAUUUAACAUUAAAGUCAGUUUGAGGAUCUGAAAAAUGUAAGUGUGACAAAAAAAGACCAAAAACAGGAGAAACCUGUAAAGUGACAAGUACUUUUUCAAGGCACCACAUGUGGGUUAUUGGUU
This is a long non-coding RNA of Xiphophorus couchianus (Monterrey platyfish), 818 nucleotides long. RefSeq lists it as uncharacterized. Lineage: Eukaryota; Metazoa; Chordata; Actinopteri; Cyprinodontiformes; Poeciliidae. The transcript has 4 exons. The record is from RefSeq and is a predicted model, not a curated record.